Molecule: ribosomal RNA, 395 nt
Filed under: uncultured bacterium
Lineage: Bacteria
Description: bacterial SSU rRNA
Rfam family: Bacterial small subunit ribosomal RNA
Source: RNAcentral
GUGUCAGCCGCCGCGGUAAUACGGAGGUGGCAAGCGUUGUUCGGAAUUACUGGGCGUAAAGGGCGCGUAGGCGGUUUGGCAAGUCAGAUGUGAAAUCCCCGGGCUUAACUCGGGAAUUGCAUCUGAAACUGCUUUUCUUGAGUCCUGGAGGGGGUAGUGGAAUUCCCAGUGUAGCGGUGAAAUGCGUAGAUAUUGGGAGGAACACCUGUGGCGAAGGCGGCUACCUGGACAGUGACUGACGCUGAGGCGCGAAAGCUAGGGGAGCGAACGGGAUUAGAUACCCCGGUAGUCCUAGCCGUAAACGAUGGGCACUUGGUGUUGGGGGUAUUGAGUCCCCCGGUGCCGGAGUUAACACGUUAAGUGCCCCGCCUGGGGAGUACGGUCGCAAGACUGAA